AUUGGAAGGAGGACUCCCAGGCUGCGGUGAUGGCUCUCAUCAAGGAGGCCUGCCUGAAAGCAAAAGGGAUCGCCUCGGGAGCUUUAUUCCAUGGAAGGUUUUCCACCUUGCAGUGACAAGAUGGCUUCCAUCAACUCCAGGAGUACAUCCUAUCACCAGAUGCAGUGAGCCUUGACCGGAUCCGAGUUUGGGACCUCAAGCUCCAGAGGACAUCUUUGGUACGACCAGGAAAAUGUUACCCUGAUUGGCUACUUGAUGGUCCCAGUCGGCCCAGAAGGGAGCAGCCAACAUGCCCAGGACUCUGGGUCUGAAAACCGACAUCACGGAGGCCUCUUCCGGGAUACCACAAGCGCACGGGUCACCAGGAGCAAUUGGUGACCUAGGAGUGCUUUCCGAUGAAAUGAGAAUGAACCCCUCAUCUCGGUGACCCGCACAGCCCAAGACAAAAUAAAUUAAGAGGCUGUGGCUGAGACGUUAAUUGCACCCAGACUCUCAGGUGGCUGGAUGCACCCACCCAGGUACCCCCUGGCCCCCACAAGCAAAACCCAAUGAACUCAUGGCUGUGGCCGGGACUUGAAAUGAACAACUGCACACACACAGUGCAACAUGCAUUUGGACGGUCCUUGGGGCAGCCCCCAGCACCACAAACACACAAAGCAGAAAUACGUGCUGAAAACACACAACCAAAUGCAAAUAAGGGAAUGGCCUUGGAUUAAUUCAUCCAUUCCCAAGAAUGUAAAAAAUAGUCCCAAACUCAAGAACGGUCUUCCGCAAGAACGUCAAGGCCACUUUUGAAGAGCCAUUCAGGGAGACUGUUACAUGCGGAUUUCUGGGGCUCAGACCUUUACUGACCCAGAACCUUUCCGGACAGAACACAAGAAUGUGCAUUUUAGGAAGCCCCCACCCCCACCCCCAUCCAAUGCUCACUGGCACUGAAAACACCGUUGAAAUCAGGGGCCUGGGGACUGCAGUUUUAUAACUGUGUGACCUUGGAGAAGCCAUCCAACCUGAACCGUGAUUUUCUCAUCUAUCAGUGGGAAUUGACAGCACUUGUCUCCUAGGGCAGCUGUGCACACUAAAGGCGUGUUUACACACACAUGCACGUGCACACACACACACACCCCUAAUACGG
Long non-coding RNA from Prionailurus viverrinus (fishing cat), 1132 nucleotides. RefSeq lists it as uncharacterized. The record is from RefSeq and is a predicted model, not a curated record. Lineage: Eukaryota; Metazoa; Chordata; Mammalia; Carnivora; Felidae. The transcript is spliced from 4 exons.